ACACCAAACACACCUUCAUUCUGAAAUGUUGGUGCUACAUAGCUCCUCGACCACGCUUGAACCAUCUUAGUGCACGUGUGGAUCACAAUGAGUUGGAUGAAACCGCAAUGACACGAUGAUUUUGUUGAAAUCUAUAGUGUAGUUUUUGUCAAAAAUCAAAAGCACAACAGCAUAACAUGAUUCUACAAAACUUGUGCCAGCUGGCCACAAAACUCGAUAAACAGAAUAUGUACGUAAUUACUAAAUAUAAAAUGUAUUUUCUAAGUAUAUUUUCAUCAAUUUUCACUACAUGUAGAUUUAUUAACUAUCUCCAAUCUCUGACCACAACAGGGUUUCAGAAGAACCAGUGCCAAUCUAUUGGAGCCACAAGCACUCUAUCUAAACUCGGUAAUAUAUCUGUCAUAUUUAAUUAUUUUUCUAUAAUGAAAUUUCUUAGGG
This 438-nucleotide long non-coding RNA is filed under the name Trifolium pratense (red clover). Its description in RNAcentral is "long non-coding RNA (TPRA_LNC009517)". Lineage: Eukaryota; Viridiplantae; Streptophyta; Magnoliopsida; Fabales; Fabaceae. The record is from RNAcentral.